AUACGGAGGGGGCUAGCGUUGUUCGGAAUUACUGGGCGUAAAGCGUACGUAGGCGGACUGAUCAGUUGGGGGUGAAAUCCCAGGGCUUAACCCUGGAACUGCCUUCAAUACUGUCAGUCUUGAGUUUGGGAGAGGUGAGUGGAAUUCCUAGUGUAGAGGUGAAAUUCAUAGAUAUUAGGAGGAACACCAGUGGCGAAGGCGGCUCACUGGCCCGAUACUGACGCUGAGGCGCGAAAGCGUGGGGAGCAAACAGGAUUAGAAACCCUAGUAGUCC
This 274-nucleotide ribosomal RNA is filed under the name uncultured bacterium. RNAcentral describes it as "partial 16S ribosomal RNA". It matches the Rfam family "Bacterial small subunit ribosomal RNA", at positions 523 to 796 of the family's 1533-position model. The record is from RNAcentral.